AGGGUUUGAUCAUGGCUCAGAACGUACGCUGGCGGCACGCCUAACACAUGCAAGUCGAACGAAGUAGCAAUACUUAGUGGCAGACGGGUGAGUAACAUGUAGGUAUCUGCCCUUUGGCCUGGAAUAACACGAGGAAACUUGUGCUAAUACCGGAUAAGUCUUUACGGAGAAAGCUUUAUGCACCAUUGGAUGAGCCUGCACUUGAUUAGUUUGUUGGUGGGGUAAUGGCCUACCAAGACUAUGAUCAAUAGCUGAUUUGAGAGGAUGAUCAGCCACAUUGGGACUGAGACACGGCCCAGACUCCUACGGGAGGCAGCAGUGGGGAAUUUUCCGCAAUGGGCGAAAGCCUGACGGAGCAACGCCGCGUGAGGGAUGAAGGCCUCUGGGCUGUAAACCUCUUCUAUCAAGGAAGAAGAUCUGACGGUACUUGAUGAAUAAGCCACGGCUAAUUCCGUGCCAGCCGCCGCGGUAAUAC
RNAcentral lists this ribosomal RNA (475 nucleotides) under uncultured bacterium. RNAcentral describes it as "bacterial SSU rRNA". It matches the Rfam family "Bacterial small subunit ribosomal RNA", at positions 8 to 526 of the family's 1533-position model. The record is from RNAcentral.